RNAcentral lists this ribosomal RNA (425 nucleotides) under uncultured bacterium. RNAcentral's name for it is "bacterial SSU rRNA". It matches the Rfam family "Bacterial small subunit ribosomal RNA", at positions 56 to 498 of the family's 1533-position model. The record is from RNAcentral.
UGCAAGUCGAACGAUGAAGCCCUUCGGGGUGGAUUAGUGGCGAACGGGUGAGUAACACGUGGGCAAUCUGCCCUUCACUCUGGGACAAGCCCUGGAAACGGGGUCUAAUACCGGAUACCACUCCUGCCUGCAUGGGCGGGGGUUGAAAGCUCCGGCGGUGAAGGAUGAGCCCGCGGCCUAUCAGCUUGUUGGUGGGGUAAUGGCCCACCAAGGCGACGACGGGUAGCCGGCCUGAGAGGGCGACCGGCCACACUGGGACUGAGACACGGCCCAGACUCCUACGGGAGGCAGCAGUGGGGAAUAUUGCACAAUGGGCGAAAGCCUGAUGCAGCGACGCCACGUGAGGGAUGACGGCCUUCGGGUUGUAAACCUCUUUCAGCAGGGAAGAAGCGAAAGUGACGGUACCUGCAGAAGAAGCGCCGGCU